This is a non-coding RNA of Poecilia reticulata (guppy), 1087 nucleotides long. NCBI's taxonomy places the organism in Eukaryota, Metazoa, Chordata, Actinopteri, Cyprinodontiformes, Poeciliidae. The record is from RefSeq and is a predicted model, not a curated record.
CAGAAAAUAGCUAUUUGGGUCGAAUUCCAACCUGGAGUUUUUCUGUUUGGAAGGUGUUCCAGAAAUUGAAUAUUUUACAGAAAAGAAAAUUAAAGUUGUUGAUUUUCCACUUUUAAGGUUCAUUGAAGGCACCACCAAUUAUUGUUUACAUCAGCAGACCGGAAACGGUUCGAAGCGUCAUGGCGAACGCGUGUUGCAGCUUGGUGGCUUAAACACGGGAAGAAUUUGGGUUUCUAAAUCUUAGCUGAACCCUGCAUUGAGCUCCGAUGUCCCUGCAGGGGGCGGUCAGGAGGAGCUUCGUGGCUCUCCAGGACCAGCGGGCGGCGUGGAGGAGCGUCCUGGAGGAGUGCGACCCCCUCAUGGAGUCUCUGGGGAACCUGGGGCAGCAGAUGAAGGCUCUGUCCCGGGUCCGGGUCUCCGACACGCCGCUCAGGGCGUUUCCGGACCUCCAGGAGCGGCUGCAGUUCCAGCUGCUGCAGGCUGUGGACCUGCUGCUGCAGAGACUCGGGGACAGGAUGUCCCGCCUCCAGUCCAUCAGGGACUCCGUUGGCGGCCAUGUUUCUGCCGCCCUGCAGCUCUACCAGGACUCCGCAGACAGUCUGGAUGUUGCCGUGGCGACGCAGCGCUCCUCCGUCGCUCCGUCGCUCGCCGACAUGUUGGAGUGGCUUCAGGACGCCGAGCGUUUCUACAGACGGCAGUUCCUGCAGAGGAAGACUCUGCUGCUGACGCUGAGGCGGGACGACCGCGCGCAGCUGGAGGGCGCGGCCAACGCCUGGAGGAGCCUGGACUCUCCUGAUGCAGAGCAGCAAAUCACAGACAAUCUGUGCAGACUGGGCUUCUUCCUGGAGGCCCAGUGAUCCGACCUCAGACCCGCUGCUGGAUCAGAACCGGCCGAACUGAUCGGACCCAGAAAGAGACACGGCUUCAGACGGAGCUGGAAGUCGGUUCAGUUUUAAUCCAAGGAACCAAAAACGAGACGAAAUCACUCGAGUUCCAGCGGCGUGAGGAAGAACUCUUCCUCCUCUUCCUCCUCAUCCUCCUGCUCUUCUUCCUCCUCCUCUUCCUUCUACUCCUCUUCCUCCUGCUC